UUUGAUCCUGGCUCAGAACGAACGCUAGCGGUGUGGAUUAGGCAUGCAAGUCGUGCGCGAAAGUCUUCGGACGAGUAAAGCGGCGAAAGGGUGAGUAACACGUAAUCAACGUACCCCUCAGAUCGGAAUAACCUCUGGAAACGGUGGGUAAUGCCGAAUGGUCCUGUGGCUGGCAUCAGCUGCGAGGUAAACGGCGGCUUCGGCUGCUGCUGAGGGAGCGGGUUGCGGCCUAUCAGCUUGUUGGUGAGGUAAAGGCUCACCAAGGCGAUGACGGGUAGCGGGUCUGAGAGGAUGAUCCGUCACACUGGGACUGAGACACUGCCCAGACUCCUGCGGGAGGCUGCAGUCGAGAAUCUUCCACAAUGGGCGCAAGCCUGAUGGAGCGACACCGCGUGCAGGAUGAAGGCCUUAGGGUUGUAAACUGCUGUCACGCUAUAGGAACCCAUGGCAGUUAAUAGUUGUCAUGCUGACUAAAGCGAGAGGAAGCGCCGGCUAACUCCGUGCCAGCAGCCGCGGUAAUA
RNAcentral lists this ribosomal RNA (521 nucleotides) under uncultured bacterium. Its description in RNAcentral is "bacterial SSU rRNA". It matches the Rfam family "Bacterial small subunit ribosomal RNA", at positions 12 to 525 of the family's 1533-position model. The record is from RNAcentral.